CCUACGGGAGGCAGCAGUGAGGAAUAUUGGUCAAUGGGAGAGAUCCUGAACCAGCCAAGUCGCGUGAGGGAUGACGGCCCUACGGGUUGUAAACCUCUUUUGUCGGGGAACAACACCCGGUACGUGUCCCGCUUUGCGUGUACCCUAAGAAUAAGGACCGGCUAAUUCCGUGCCAGCAGCCGCGGUAAUACGGAGGAUGCGAGCGUUAUCCGGUUUUAUUGGGUUUAAAGGGUGCGUAGGCGGGCGGUAAAGCCGGCGGUAAAAUUGCGGGGCUCAACCCCGUCGAGCCGUGGAAACUGGCGGGCUUGAGUGGGCGAGAAGUAGGCGGAAUGCGCGGUGUAGCGGUGAAAUGCAUAGAUAUCGCGCAGAACCCCGAUUGUGAAGGCAGCGUGCCGGAGCGGAACUGACGCUGAGGCACGAAAGCGUGGGGAUCGAACAGGAUUAGAUACCCGGGUAGUC
This 459-nucleotide ribosomal RNA is filed under the name uncultured bacterium. Its description in RNAcentral is "partial 16S ribosomal RNA". It matches the Rfam family "Bacterial small subunit ribosomal RNA", at positions 338 to 795 of the family's 1533-position model. The record is from RNAcentral.